RNAcentral lists this ribosomal RNA (517 nucleotides) under uncultured bacterium. RNAcentral's name for it is "bacterial SSU rRNA". It matches the Rfam family "Bacterial small subunit ribosomal RNA", at positions 8 to 524 of the family's 1533-position model. The record is from RNAcentral.
AGAGUUUGAUCCUGGCUCAGAUUGAACGCUGGCGGCAUGCCUUACACAUGCAAGUCGAACGGUAGAGUAGCAAUACUCGAGAGUGGCGAACGGGUGAGUAAUAUAUCGGAACGUGCCCAGUCGUGGGGGAUAACGUAGAGAAAUUUACGCUAAUACCGCAUACGAUCUAAGGAUGAAAGCGGGGGAUUCGCAAGAACCUCGCGCGAUUGGAGCGGCUGAUAUCAGAUUAGGUUGUUGGUGAGGUAAAAGCUCACCAAGCCGACGAUCUGUAGCUGGUUUGAGAGAACGGCCAGCCACACUGGGACUGAGACACGGCCCAGACUCCUACGGGAGGCAGCAGUGGGGAAUUUUGGACAAUGGGCGAAAGCCUGAUCCAGCAAUGCCGCGUGCAGGAAGAAGGCCUUCGGGUUGUAAACUGCUUUUGUACGGAACGAAAAGGCUCUUUCUAAUAAAGGGGGCCCAUGACGGUACCGUAAGAAUAAGCACCGGCUAACUACGUGCCAGCAGCCGCGGUAAU